Chelonia mydas (Green sea turtle) is the source of this 7890-nucleotide long non-coding RNA. RefSeq lists it as uncharacterized. NCBI's taxonomy places the organism in Eukaryota, Metazoa, Chordata, Testudines, Cheloniidae. The transcript is spliced from 3 exons. The record is from RefSeq and is a predicted model, not a curated record.
UUAAGUUGCCCGGUGGCGGGGUGGGCGAGCGAGGAAGUGGGAGGUGGCGGCCGCGUUACGAGGGGAGCCGGCUGCCUCAGGCCCGGGGCGCGUGCAGAGCUGGGGCUUGGCUGUUACCCCUUCUGUGUGACUAGGCCACCCCCCAUCGCGCCUCUGGGCAGGCCCGUCCGAUGGCUCGGUGUCUUUGUUACCGCUGCGGCCACAGCGCGCAGGGAGAGCUGGCGAGGGCGCUGAAGGGGCACGCGCGAGCGCAGGGCUGCCUGAGGGCCGGGGCCGCCGCUACUUCAGGGAGAGUAGCCGGGGCCGCCUGUGGUGCUGUAUAGUACUCGAUGUACAUGGCGUAGUAUUUUGUCAAAUGAGCGGGCUCCCCUCAGCAGUACACGUGAAGCCUUUAUGCUCCACUCUAGUGAGAAAUGUGUGGCUCCUUCCUUUCCACUAAGAUUGGUUUUAUAGGCCCUCUUUUUUUGUACCGGCUCAGGCCUCUAAUCUAGCUGCCCCCCGUUUUCUCCUUUUAAGUUUGCACUUGAACAGAAACUUAUUUGAAAGGCUGGUCUGGAUUUUUUUUUUCUUCUCUUUUUGCCUGGGGCUACUUCUGCCUCCCCCUUUAUCCUAGUUUACAUCCCCCCCAACUACAGCCCUGUGUUACAGCCACCCUCUGGCACAGAACUCCAUUGAGAGGCUGUGGUGGAUUCUCCAGCACUGGCAAUUUUUAAAUGCAGACUGGAUGUUUUACUAAAACGUAUGCUGCAGUGAAAACAGGAAUUAAUUCAGGGAAGUUCUCUGGCCUGUAUUUUGCAGGAGGCCAGAGCUGUGCUCCCUUCUGGCUUUAUAAUAUAGGAAUCUAUGAUCCUAAAGUGUGUCCAUACCACUCCUUAGCUACCUGAAAGGGAUGCUACUGAGUCACAUUAGACUUAGCCAAGUAGUGGUCAUAGAGUGCCUCCACUGUAAUCUAGGGGUGUAACUGCCCUGCUCCUAUACAGUUAGUUAUGCUUGCUCUCAUCCAUCCAGCAGAAGUAUCCAUAGCUGCAGUAGCACCAGUUUGAGGUAGGCUUAUCCUCAGCCCAGCUCAGCUGUGCCUCUACUGUUGCUAUCAGUGCUACACAGCUGCACUGCUGUGUAUACUCGCACUGGCUAGAUGAGAGCUAGCAGGAGUAUGUGUACAUGAGCAGGGGAAUCACAACCUUCGCUUGUAGGGUAGACAUAGGCUUAGUGCUUAUCUGUACAUACAGUGCUUCAACAGCACAGCUGCACCAAUUCAGCUGCAUCACUGUAGCAUUAGUGAAGAUGCUUCUAUUGGUGUAGGUCCCCAAGAGGAGAUAGCUAUGUCAACAGGAAUGCUUCUCAACAUAGCACUGUUUACACCAGGGGUUAGGUUGGUAAUAGUGCAUCACUUGGGUGUGGAUAUUCCAUACCCUGAGCAACACAGUUAUACCAAAUAAGUCCGUAGUGUAGAGCAAACCUUAGUCAAUGAACAUGCUGUCUUCACUUCAUAUGUGGCUGGACUAAUUGUGCUUUAAGCCUGAGAGUGCUCUGUUGUCAAAGAGGCAUUGUGGUAUGAAAAAGACUUUUCAUAUAUUACUGUUUUAAAGAGUAUUUUACCUCUCGCUGAUCUAGAAGUUAUGUAUUUUUAACUGGCAUAUUCCAUUUUGAGAAAUUCAAUACAUAUAACAGGUUAAGGACUAGAAGACAAAGCCCUAAUACUGAGAAAAAAAAUGAUGGAAGACAAUGAUUAUUUCCAGUCAGGUAGCUGGCAACAGACCAGGCCUUUUACCCUAUUGAGGGUAGAAGAGCAUCCCACCAUGCUUUCCCAGAAUUGUAGUUUUCAAGUGUACAAAAUACUAAACUUCUUAUCAAAAUACUUAAUUAUAAAUUAAACUAAUUUCCAUUUCUAAUAGGGCCUUUCAUUAUCAAUAACAGGCCUGAAGACGUGGACAUUAAUUCUACAACUAUUCAGAAAUAAUUCUCUGUGGGAAUCUGAUUCUAGGAUAUGGAGGGUCUAAGCAAGAAAAUUCUCAGGUAAAAAAUGUUCUCUCCUCUCUGUUCCCUUCAUGUCCCAUCAUUCUAACAAUGACAUGUUCACAGCACUAAAGGCCAUAUCUGGGUCAGAAAAGGAUAGGAUCAAUAGUUAUGUACAAUAAUGACAGCGCAGAAGCAGCCAAGGGAUUAUGGAGCUACCACUACUUGACUCUCCUGACAGAUGCUGAAUCCACAGGAUACCUACUUUGCAGUGUCUCAGACAUGUGGACAGAAAGUCAAGUUGCUGCCUUCCAUUUGUUUUCAUGCAAAGCAUUUGACAUUGCUGCUAAUGAUGUUUCAGAUCCCCCAGUUUAAUGAGCUGUGAUGUUGUUGUGUGGAGCUGCUACUUUUGCCUUGUAUGGGCUCAUGAUUCAAACAUUGAUCCAGAUCGCUGUGGUAGUCUUAUAGGGUUUCUUGCCCAGAUAUCAGUUUUGAAUGGUCUUCUCAAACACAGUGGGCUACUGGUUUGGAGGCCAGUGAAUAAGUCACUAACUUCAGAGUCCAGGGAUAUAUCUGUUGCAAAUGAUGCUUCAAAGAAGAUAUUUUUCACCAUUGCCUUCAUUUUUAUUGUAAAUUGGGGAGGGAGACUGUCAGUUUGUCCAAACCAUGACAGCUAUUUCAAACACAAUAAUGCAGUGGAGGCCAAAAGGAGCUGAUGCAAUUACCUCAUCGUCUGCCCAGAGACACAAUUAUCUUCCUAUCUGCAGGAUCUCUAGGCAAGAACUCACCCUCCACUGGAAUUACUGUCUGAUUAGUGAGGUGCUGCUGCUUCCAACUUUGGAAUCUCUUGUUCUUUGGUACAAUGGAAAAUCUCUGGAGCAGCUGGCUGGGUGUUAUGGACCUACUGGUAAACUCCCAUUAUGCCACCUUCAUAUGCCAAAUGGAGGGUGGAUUCACAGACCCCUUUUAGACACUGAGAGAAUCCUUCCCCAGCAUUGCUUUGUAAGAAUCAGCUCUCCUAUGUGAUCUGGACUCUCCUCCCUGCUGCUGGAGAUCUUGGCAAGUAGACAAGCCAGCUUUCUGUGACAGGUGUAGGUGAACUGAGCACACACUGCAUUUCCUGUCCUUGUUUCUCCCCCUUGUCUCCUUCAUAGACAUAUUUGGCCCAGGAGCAAGAUUGGAAACAGGAGAAUGCCUUAGUAAAACAUCUUUUCCAAAGCUCCAAGGAAUAAGUUUGCUGAUUCUCUUUAACGGAACUGAAGUCCCAACUGAAAUAAGGUAGUUAAAGUUAAAAUAAGAGCAGGGUUGACUGAAAAAGCUUCAUGAUGGAAGUCUGUAGCCUGCUGUUCACACUCCUUAGGCAGAGUAAUCUGGGAAAGGCUUAGAAGGCAAAAUCUUAUGCCCUAGCCAAGGCAACAGGUAUGAGGAAAGAGCCUCAGCUGGUGUAACUUGUCAGUUAUUUCAUUGGAGCCACAACAGUUUUUACCAUCUGAGGAUCUGCCAAGUGGUCUGCCACCAACAUAGAGGAGAAAACCUGUGGCUAAAAUUGUUGCCCAUGAAGAUGAUAGAGAAGAACACUGAAUUAGGGGGCACCGUUAAUUUCACAGAAGCCCAAAAGGUAGAAAUGCAGAAGUACUAUUUAGAUUCCCCAGUGCCUUUCCCUGAGAAUGCAGGUUUGCACCUUACAGUAGCUACUCUUCUUAUGCUAGUUACCCUAUUGAAGAUGCAAAGAAUGGAUAGGCUGAAUGUUGCAUAUAAGAAAUAAUUAAAAAAAAAAAACUGUACAAGAACUACUGAUUGCUUCAUAAGUGUGAAUGGAAAUAAUUUAGAGCAAAAAGACAAUUUUGGGUGAGCAAAGGUUUUAUUCCUAGAGUUGUUUUUAGGUAUGUACAAAUUAACAGCUAGGGAAAUUUCUAGUCAGAUUAAGUUAUUGUGGUGGUAAAUUUAACGAGGGUAGAGAUAGUUUCACUAGGUAUUCUUUUAAUUAAAAAAGCUCAUUGACCACCUUUGCUCAUCUAACGUAAUAUUUUAAUCAUGUAUAUAAAAGUAAUAAAGAUUUAAAACUUUCUUUUUAAAUUAUGAAGAUUAUUUUUGUUGAAAUUCUUAUGUCUAAUGACAGCUUUUAUUACUUUUUAGUGGUAUAAAGCAUUUUAGGUCUAUACUCAAAAUGGCAAUUUUACUAACCAACAGUAACAUCUAUUAUUCUCACAUUGGGGGGAAAAAAAGGUGAUCGCAACUUUUAAAAAUCACUUUUAGUCUCCAUAAAUCUGUUACUUUGUUUACUUUAUCUGUGGGAAAAAUGGAUGCAUCUAUUGCACAGUACAUGCAACAUAAAAUAAAAUACAGAAAUGCCUAUAGUGUGAGGGAGGAUUUUUCUCCCAGUUAUUCUAAUUCCAGAAACACAAAAUCUAGGAAGGUAUUUUAAAUUCCUUCCUUUAAAUGCCACAUCUGUUGCCACUAUUCCCCCCCCUCCCAGAACAUUAAAAUUAAAUAAUACAGAUACAGGAUUAAUACCGUGGGCCAGAUUCUAGUCUAAAUUACAUGAGUAACAUCAGAAUCUGACAUCUAUAAAUUAUUCUGUAAAAUCACAUAAGAGUAAAAUUACAUAGAGUAUUAAAAAUCUGGCUUUCCUUUUUAUAAUAUUUAAAUCUACUCCACAAUACCAUUUAAAAAGGAGGCUAUAUGUAGUUUAACAUUAAGCAAUAUUAAUUUAACGGAAGGUAAGAUCGAAAAAGGGUGAACUAUAUUUUGACAUUAUGGAAGAGAGAAAAAGCAAAACAAGUAACAAUAGAAAGAUCCACAAUACCACUUAGUCAGCAAGUUAAAUAUUAAACCUUUGCGGGAAAAAGUCUAUCUAAAAAGUUAGUGGGGCAACCAAAACUGUCUCAAAUCUUUGGGCGAGAACAACAAUUUAUGCUGAUACAUUAGUAGCUCAUAAUGGCAGCUGAAAGGAAGGCAAGUAUGGCACAAUCCAAAAGCAUCACAUAUUGUGCAACUUGCUUGAGGGAAAGGACCAGUGGGAUUAUUCUUGCUAAAAUGAUCACGGAAUAGCUAGUCCAGCAGAAAUAAUAACUGGGUGGUUAAUAGUCUCUUACGAGGACCCUAGUACAUGACCUUAUGUCUACUUUAUGCACCUUUUACAAUUCUUUAGUUCUAAUAAGACACCUGUCUCUUUAAAUAAAAUAUUUUCCAUACCACUUCUGGAGGCCUUUUUGCUUGGUCUGUCUAGGCUAAGAUUCUUUGAAUGCUGUACUUCAUCUUUUUUGGAAUUCUUUUCCAGUGGAUUUAGACGAAUGCCCAGAACUGAUCUUUACGAACUGCUAUAUAAACAUUUGAAUUUGAAUGGAUGCACUGAAUGUGUAAUGAUGAUUUCUACAAAUAGUUGCAUGUGAGAUGUUAAUUACUGAGGUUCAUAUAUUUGUUGCUUACUUAUAAGCAGUUUCUUCUAUGUCUUAAUACUGAUGUGUAUGUGUCAACUGACUUAACAGGACAUCCUUGCAAGUAAGAUCUUUGAUCUCAAGAGUUUACUUUAUCUUUGCAACAAAGAUAAAACUGAAUUGAACUGACUGGCUGAACUAAGCCCUCUUUUCUCUGCACUACAACUACUGCCUCGUUCUGGGGAUAUCACAACUUCCACUGACACCACCGGAUGCUGCAUUUUGUUGUAGAACUAGGAAAGGUCUUUCCAAUUUGUCCACAUAAGCUAGACUACAUAUUGAAAUCUUCACAAUUGCUUGUUUAUUUAAAAAAAAAACAAAAAACAAACACACAAUUCUGGGCUGCCCAUAAGCCUUUGCUUCUCUGAAAGAAUCUGUCAGAUUUGUGUCUACUAUGUACCAGGGUUAAGGAAAAUCUAACUAUCUUUGAGCUACUCCCUCAUACUAUUUGAUGGGUAAGUAGUAAACCUUAUUAGAAUAUUUAUCUUCAUGUUUUGGUAUGUUGAAAGCGUUCAGACCAUAGGCCUGCAAUAGAGAAGGCUAAAGAUAAAAACAAAAUAACCAAAAACUCUGCUUUCAGAUGUUGACAGGAUGUAUGCAAUCAAUUAAAUGUUAACUCCAUGACUCUCCUAUUAUUUACAUUACAGUACUGCCCAGAGGCCCUAGCCAGGAUCAGGAGCUCUUUGUGCUAGGUACGGUGCAAAUACAUAAAGAAACUGUCCCUGUCCUGAAGGUCUAGACAGAAACUGUGGCAAGAGCAGUUUUGGUAUAGUGAACAGGAGGAUGAUAGAAGGGAGGCUAUAGCUGAUAUUGCUAAUUUUCUCUUUGAAAAAGCCUUCAGGAUCUUGUUCACAGAAUGAGGAGGGGACAAAUGCCCCAAUUAUUUUCUGACUUUAACUUCCCAUAUGCCACGUUCUGUCUGACUGCACUUCAUUUCAUUUGUACAUUUCAGUUUUGGUUAGUUAGGUCUUCUAUAGCAAAAUGAUAUGCAAUGAAAAUUGUGUCUUAUCUUUAAUUUCUUUUCUCCUAUCUUCUGACACUCCUACUGUGCAUCCUCCUUUCCCAUGCAGCUAAAGGACAGAACAAAAGGUGCAGGAGAAAGCCUUGCUCUCAAAGCUGUAACAACACUUAUUAACUGUUAAACAUGGAAUUAAUUCAUAACUAUUUGUAAAGAACCAAACAACAUUUUAAUAUCCUGAAAGUGAGUGAAUGGAAAAAAAUAAUAAAUAUAUCUAAGGAUAUCCCAGAACCCAUAACUAAGGUGGGGUAGAUUCUCAGACACGACAGUAGGAGAAACGAAAUUAGAAGUUUCAGACACUCCCACUGAAGGAUUUAAGAAUUAGUGAAGCUCUAAAGGAGAGAAAAAUUCAGAGCAAACCAGUUGUUUUUGGUAGAGUAAAUCUGGAUAAGGGACUAUACUACUGAAGGCACUGCCCAUUGCAGAGUUCUUCUAACAAAAGUUGUGUCCACAGAGGCCAUCAUCUAUUUGGUAGUGCUUUGGAUCUCACUGCUUCUUCAGUAGGACUGUCAGACAUGAAAAUGUAGAAGAAUGAAAAUGCUGUUUUGUCUUUAGCCUCACAUAAGUGUGAGCAGAAGAGCAGCCUUACAAAUACCGACAAAGAUUUCAUGAGAUCUCUGUGCCCCAGAAAUAGCCAGUGACCUGGCUGAAUGAACUGUAAUUCCUGGAGGACCAGAUUUGCCUCUGACCUUGUCUGCUUUUGAAACACACAUCUUCAUUUUGAAUAUCAAUAAUUUAGAAACAUCAUCCCUAUAACUGACUGGCAGUACAAAGGGAAUCUGAACAGAGAAUUUGCCCCCCUUCUGAUAUGCAUAUUUGCUUCCCCAUAAAGUUCACAUCUUUCUUCUUUACUUUGUUUUAGAUUCAGACAAAAGAAAGGCAAAACAGUAAUGUGGGGUCUGUGCAAAUGGAUCUUUUGGAGGAAUGAAGGCUGGGAUGGAUCUCAGUCCUGAAGGAGACCUUGUCACUGUGAAAGAUGCUGAGUUGUGGCUCACUGACAAGGUCCUCAAUUCUGAAAUUCUUCAGAGGUGAUUCAAAGGAAGGGGAUAGUUACCAGACUUAAUCACCAGGACCAAAGCCUACAUCUGUAGUCACACGAAGUGUAAACUUGGAAACUGCAGCACUGAGAUGUCAAGCUUCAGAUUGUACUUUCCAGGAAAUAGCAGCAACUGUGUCUAUGGCUGUCUCCUUGGCAGAUUUCUUGUACAUCCUAUUAUCUAGUUCCAUUUCUGGUUUUGCUUGUCGCUAAAGAGCUGUUUGUAGGGGCUGGUUCAUGAUCAGCCUGCUGUCGGGCUGUUCUGGAUGCAAUUAUUCUUUGAUUUACCACUGAACAUGUGGACUUUGCUCUUUCUUCUGCAUUUUAAAAUUAGGCCUUUCCGAAGAUUUAGUCAUCUUUUUCAGACGAAAUAAAAGAUGUUUUGUUAAGUUUGAUUUAAACAAAAUAUUCAUAAGGAAACCAUCACACAUUAUAGAGGACAU